AGAUGUUUUGGGACUACAACUCCCAUCAUCCCUGACCACUGGUCCUGUUAGCUAGGGAUGAUGGGAGCUGUAGUCCCAAAACAUCU
Molecule: microRNA precursor, 86 nt
Filed under: Podarcis lilfordi (Lilford's wall lizard)
Lineage: Eukaryota; Metazoa; Chordata; Lepidosauria; Squamata; Lacertidae
Source: RNAcentral